UCCCCUUCUCCAAUUCAGAGCCUCACCGCUCGGUUUUCCUUGGUAUUCGGUAGCGCGCAAGGUCCCCGCCUCACUUACCGCUUCGUCUCGCUCGAGGAAAAGGAACAGGCGCUGGAGAGGAGAAGCGGCGCGACUCAGAAGAUGGCGGCGCAGGUCACUUGGUGGGUGGAUGGAUCCCCAUCAGCGACCCGAUUCAGGGAUUAUCUUGAGGAAGGAUUGGCUAUUGAUGUUGAAUGAGAAGAACGGUGCUUGAUUGGUGCCUUUUGGAUAUUAUGUAUGCUUGUUCGCUGCAAUGUACUCCCUCCGUCCGGAAAUACUUGUCAUCAAAAUGAAUAAAAGGAGAUGUAUCUAGAUGUAUUUUAGUUCUAGAUGCAUCCCUUUUUAUCCAUUUUGAUGACAAGUAUUUUCGGACGGAGGGAGUAGCAGUUAAGAACAAGUGGUCCUAAUUCCUGUCUUUACGAUGGUUAAAACAUUUAUUUUGAACUUGGUGUCAUCAACUUGAUGUAAUUGUAACCAGCUGUUGCUACAUGUAUGGGACUCACUUUUAUUGAUGUCAAAUGCUACUGUUGGUGUUGUUUUGUGA
This is a long non-coding RNA of Triticum dicoccoides, 583 nucleotides long. RefSeq lists it as uncharacterized. The transcript has 3 exons. The record is from RefSeq and is a predicted model, not a curated record. Lineage: Eukaryota; Viridiplantae; Streptophyta; Magnoliopsida; Poales; Poaceae.